Molecule: ribosomal RNA, 495 nt
Filed under: uncultured bacterium
Lineage: Bacteria
Description: partial 16S ribosomal RNA
Rfam family: Bacterial small subunit ribosomal RNA
Source: RNAcentral
GACGAACGCUGGCGGCGUGCCUAAUACAUGCCAGUAGAACGCUGAAGGAGGAGCUUGCUUCUCUGGAUGAGUUGCGAACGGGUGAGUAACGCGUAGGUAACCUGCCUGGUAGCGGGGGAUAACUAUUGGAAACGAUAGCUAAUACCGCAUAAGAGUAGAUGCUGCAUGACAUUUACUUAAAAGGUGCAAUUGCAUCACUACCAGAUGGACCUGCGUUGUAUUAGCUAGUUGGUGAGGUAACGGCUCACCAAGGCAACGAUACAUAGCCGACCUGAGAGGGUGAUCGGCCACACUGGGACUGAGACACGGCCCAGACUCCUACGGGAGGCAGCAGUAGGGAAUCUUCGGCAAUGGACGGAAGUCUGACCGAGCAACGCCGCGUGAGUGAAGAAGGUUUUCGGAUCGUAAAGCUCUGUUGUAAGAGAAGAACGAGUGUGAGAGUGGAAAGUUCACACUGUGACGGUAUCUUACCAGAAAGGGACGGCUAACUACGUG